Molecule: ribosomal RNA, 424 nt
Filed under: Verrucomicrobiota bacterium
Lineage: Bacteria; Pseudomonadati; Verrucomicrobiota
Description: Verrucomicrobia bacterium partial 16S ribosomal RNA
Rfam family: Bacterial small subunit ribosomal RNA
Source: RNAcentral
UGAGGAAUAUUGGUCAAUGGGCGAGAGCCUGAACCAGCCAAGUAGCGUGCAGGAUGACGGCCCUAUGGGUUGUAAACUGCUUUUAUAUGGGAAUAAAGUGAGGGACGUGUCCCUUAUUGCAUGUACCAUACGAAUAAGGACCGGCUAAUUCCGUGCCAGCAGCCGCGGUAAUACGGAAGGUCCAGGCGUUAUCCGGAUUUAUUGGGUUUAAAGGGAGCGUAGGCUGUUUGUUAAGCGUGUUGUGAAAUGUAAGAGCUCAACUUUUAGAUUGCAGCGCGAACUGGCAGACUUGAGUGCGCACAACGUAGGCGGAAUUCAUGGUGUAGCGGUGAAAUGCUUAGAUAUCAUGACGAACUCCGAUUGCGAAGGCAGCUUACGGGAGCGCAACUAACGCUAAAGCUCGAAGGUGCGGGUAUCGAACAGG